GAAGUACUUUAUAUCUCUUUUGACUGUAAAGGGUUAACAAGUUCAGUAAGCCUGGCUGUCACCUGACCAGAGGACGAAUCAAGGGACAGGAUACUUCAAAUCUGGAGGACGGAAAAUUUUUGUGUGUG
Chelonoidis abingdonii (Abingdon island giant tortoise) is the source of this 128-nucleotide non-coding RNA. Lineage: Eukaryota; Metazoa; Chordata; Testudines; Testudinidae. The record is from RefSeq and is a predicted model, not a curated record.